Molecule: ribosomal RNA, 497 nt
Filed under: uncultured bacterium
Lineage: Bacteria
Description: partial 16S ribosomal RNA
Rfam family: Bacterial small subunit ribosomal RNA
Source: RNAcentral
GGGGGGGGGGGGCGGCGGGGCGGGGGGAGGCGGGUCGGGCGAGGGGGCGAGAAGCGUGCUGCGCUGAUGUUAGCGGCGGGCGGGUGAGGAGCACGUGGAGAACCUACCUAUAAGACUGGGAUAACUUCGGGAAACCGGAGCUAAUACCGGAUAAUAUUUUGAACCGCAUGGUUCAAACGUGAAAGACGGUCUUGCUGUCACUUAUAGAUGGAUCCGCGCUGCAUUAGCUAGUUGGUAAGGUAACGGCUUACCAAGGCAACGAUGCAUAGCCGACCUGAGAGGGUGAGCGGCCACACUGGAACUGAGACACGGUCCAGACUCCUACGGGAGGCAGCAGUAGGGAAUCUUCCGCAAAGGGCGAAAGCCUGACGGAGCAACGCCGCGUGAGUGAUGAAGGUCUUCGGAUCGUAAAACUCUGUUAUUAGGGAAGAACAUAUGUGUAAGUAACUGUGCACAUCUUGACGGUACCUAAUCAGAAAGCCACGGCUAACUACGUG